This 439-nucleotide ribosomal RNA is filed under the name uncultured bacterium. RNAcentral describes it as "partial 16S ribosomal RNA". It matches the Rfam family "Bacterial small subunit ribosomal RNA", at positions 339 to 795 of the family's 1533-position model. The record is from RNAcentral.
CUACGGGAGGCUCCAGUGAGGAAUAUUGCACAAUGGGGGGAACCCUGAUGCAGCAACGCCGCGUGGAGGAUGACGCAUUUCGGUGUGUAAACUCCUUUUAUAUGUCAAGAAAAUGACGGUAGCAUAUGAAUAAGCACCGGCUAACUCCGUGCCAGCAGCCGCGGUAAUACGGAGGGUGCAAGCGUUACUCGGGAUCACUGGGCGUAAAGGACGCGUAGGCGGGUUGGAAAGUCAGGUGUGAAAUCCUACAGCUUAACUGUAGAACUGCACUUGAAACUUCUAAUCUAGGGUAUGGGAGGGGGAGAUGGAAUUAGUGGUGUAGGGGUAAAAUCCGUAGAUAUCACUAGGAAUACCUAAAGCGAAGGCGAUCUCCUGGAACAUUACUGACGCUAAGGCGUGAAAGCGUGGGGAGCAAACAGGAUUAGAUACCCCUGUAGUC